This 2198-nucleotide long non-coding RNA is filed under the name Medicago truncatula (barrel medic). RNAcentral describes it as "long non-coding RNA (MTRU_LNC005501)". Lineage: Eukaryota; Viridiplantae; Streptophyta; Magnoliopsida; Fabales; Fabaceae. The record is from RNAcentral.
AAAAACAAUCAAUUCGAUUUUCACUUCGAAAAAUAUAUUUAUUGAAAUUUCGACAGAGUUUCCUCUGUUAAUUCAACAUUUUCAAGAUAUGAAUCCUGUUUCAUCAACCAGUAUCUCAAAUAACAUUUUUUUUUCAUACUUGUACAACUCAGAACAAAACAUCGUAGACUACCAAAUAGCUGCAGAUACUUCGACUCAAUAUAUGCAUAAACAAUAGAGACAUCCACCAAAAAAGCCUACCAAAACGAGUGACACAACUGAACUUUGAAUCUACUAGCAUCUUUCUACUUCACUGCUUGGAAAUCUGAAAAAAAUAAAAAUAAAAUAAAAGAGUAAGUCACAGGGACUUAGUGAGAGACAACAACCACCACCAACAAGAAGGGAAACACACAAGAGCACGAUUAUUUAUUUUCUCAAAUCUAAUAUAGAUUUACAAAUCUAGUAUCCGUAUAAAAUUCAAGUAAUCCACAAUUGUUUAUACGCAUGAAAAUUCACAAUCAAGUGUAUACAUGAAAAUUCAGAAAACUUUAUAAAUUUAUCAAACCAAAUAAGAUUAUAUCGAAAUCCCAAUGUCGUAAAGAGGUGAACCCAAAUCCACAACCAUAAAGAAAAUAUAGAAAUCACACAUAAUAAAAAGGAAUUUUUUUUUUUGAACAAGCCAACAUAAUAAAAAGGAAUUGAAAUAAUAAAAAUCCAAAUAGAAUAUAAAAAUCGGAUUUAAUGAAGUGGAAUCAAAAUAAUCAACUUCAAAGAAAGUAUAAAGAUUCAAUUUUCGUGAAAAUAUCAAAAUGGGUGAAUCGAGAACUAGCUCCAUCUCGUUGAUAGCCCUCUCCUCCUAAUGGUGACCUUUCCAUAGGAGCGGCUCCAUCUAACGGAUAGCUCUUUUCUCUCGACUCAAAACAAUGUGAAUAAAAUAUAGAAAACUCCGUUUAGUCAAAAUAAUCAAAUGGGUGAAUCGAGAACUAACUCCAUCUCGUUGAUAGCCCUCUCCUCCUAAUGGUGACCUUCCAUAGGGGCGGCUCCAUCUAAUGGAUAACUCUUUUCUCUCGACUCAAAACAAAGUGUAAAACAUUUUCAAUUAGAAAGUUUACCUCUCAUUGAUAGCACUCUCCUCCUAAUGGCGGCCUUUCCAUAGGGGCGGCUCUAUCUAACGGGGUAACUCUACCUAAUUGAAAUCACAUACUAGGUGAACCUAGGUCGUCGUCAUUAUAAUUGUAAUUUUCAAAACCUCAUUUUUAAAACACAUGUCUAAAACCAUAUUUCGUAACAUUACAAAACUUAUAUCAACAUAUGUUCAUCAAAACUCAAUUGAAACCUACUACUUAUCAUCAUUAGUAAAUCCAAAUCCAAAUCCAAAUCGUGUACAUAAUCAUAUCAAAUCCUUUCAAAAACACAUUUCAAAUCAUGCUUUACAAUGUAUGAAAACUAAUGUCAAGAUACAUGAAAUCAAAUUUCAAUUCUUAAAUCCACUACUCUAUAAACCAUAAAUCAUAUGCCAAACCAAAACCCAUAUGCAAAUUGAGCGUAUAAUAGUAUCAAAAUAAUUUUCAAACAAAAACAUAUUUCUCAAAACCAUGAUUUGUAAAAUAUCAAACUUGUGUCAAAUGCACACAAUCAAAUCCCAACCUACAAUUCUUUGCUUAUGAGUCAUAGAUAAAAAUUCAAAUAGAGACCAUAAUAAUAUUAAUGACUUUAAACAUGCAUCAAAGACGAGAAAAAUAUUCGAAAGAUGUGUCCCCCAUUUUUGUAAAUACUUUAACAUAUAAAAUCAUAAAAAUAUCAAUAAUAACGAUAAGGAAAAUAAGUGAUAAUGAUCCUCAUCAACUCACAACUAUGACGAGUCAACUCCAUUCCUAGCAAUUUCUUCCGAAAUGACCGCCGAAGCAAUUUUCACCACAUCUUAAGGAGUAUCGAUAAGCAACUUUCAAGAGAUGGGUAAUCCUCUCUUCCUUUAGAGCAUUAACCCCAAUUCCAAAAUUCUACUCAAAAGCACUUGCAUUAUGAGAUUGUGUUGCUUGGAUGUGCUAUUGACCUCAAGAGUUCAUGGCAUAUGGAAGGUAUUUGGUGAUUGAGAGAGAAAAUAAUGGGUUACGGUGUGGGAAGAAAGAAAAGGAAUUGGAAAUGGAAAUAGAAGUUGGAAGAAAUAAAAGGAAAGUUCCAGAGAGAGUGAGAGAAACUGAUGUGGGGUUGGGUUUUCU